ACAUAUCCCCUGCGCACUGUCCGGAGCACUCCUUCCCUUCCCGGGUUCCUCAAGGCACGGCUCCCCCAGGCAGAUGAAAGCUUAAUGGAGUUUUGCGAUAUGAAAGUCAGUCGGAGGAAAGAGCCUUGAACAGUUCUGCAUGAGAGCGAGGCAAGCGCCCGAAAUUAUUUUACCACAAAGGCAGCGCUCUCUGCCACAAAGGCACGGAGGAGAAAGGAGCCCGGGAAACGGGUCAUUUCUUUCGUGGAAAAAUGGAAACUGUUCUGAAGCAUUUUGGGAGACGUGCUGUGAAGUAGGUGACACCGGAAGACGAGGACACUGGGGGCUCCCUGCCAGGAGGUGCAAAAAGCAACUCCCGUUCAAGGGUCAGAGGAGCCUGGAUGCUAAUGUCUCUCCAAGGUGACUUGGAGCCAACUGCCGGAAAGGCCACACCCUUAGGAACAUAGGUAGGUCCCAGCUCAGGUGAGCCUGAACCUUCUGCCCCAUCAGGAGGUUCCCGUGGGAGGAGCUCAGGUGGGGAGGAGUCGGAAGUCAGGGUUUCAUGCCUCCCUCAUUGGCUUUGGGGUUCCCUUUAAGGUGGACACCCGGUGUGGGCAGUGGGAGGCGGGGGUGAAGCAGAGGACAGCAAGCGUGGUGGUUCAGGCAAAGUAAACCUGGAGGGAGCAAAUGCCUUUGCCCUGGGUGUGAAAGGGUAAGGCCCCAUUGUAGGUCAUUUAUUCAUUCAACAAACAUGGGUUGAAGUGUGUCUUGGGCUGGCCUCAGAGAAGCUCAAGAAAAGAAAGAUGCUGUCAUUGCCCCGAGGAGCCACUGUCUGGCAUGCAGGCCAACUGUGACAAGCUGUGGUCCAGGGAUGUGCUGUGUGACCUUCUUCAAGUUCCCGACCCUCUCUGGGCUGCAGUCACCUUAUUCAGAAAAUGGAGAGGCUAGGCAAGAAAAUGAUGCUAAUCUCACCCUUUUCCGAGCUGGCAUUUUAUUGAGCACCUACUAGGCGCUGGGCAUUUUGCUAGGCCCUUCGUGCACACUGCCAUGAGAAAUCCACAGCAACCCCAGAGAUGGGUUCAUCAAUAACUCACCAGCAAAUACUUCCUGAGGCCCCACUGUGUGCCGAGCAUGGGCAUAGGUACUGGGCACACCUUGAUGAACAAGGGAGGUAAAGAUGUGACUCUCCUAGACCUUUCUGUCUAGAAGAGGAGAUGGAGAAUAAACAUGGAAACAAGCAAGAUCAUUCUGGAGAAAAUGCAAUCAGAUGAUGUGCUAGAUGGUAACAGAGAGAGGCCGCAUGAGAGAGAGGGCCGUGACAGCCUCUCUGAGAAGCUGAAAUCCAAGCAGAACCCGAAAGACGAGGAGAAACUCAGAUACAUAAAGACUGGGAAAAGCAUUCAAGUAGAGGGAACAGUGUGUGCAAAGGCCCUGAGGUGGGUGCAAUAGAUACCACAGGCCCCCUCACUCGAGACCACUCCAAGCACCUCCUGCCCUCUUGUGCCACAGAGCUCAGAAAGCUAAAGCAAUGUUCCCCAGAGGUCCUGUGGCCAAGGUCCUGCAUGGGCCUGGGUGACCCCUGCAGAAGCUUCUGAGGAAGACUGAGCAGGGAAAGAAAGGCCAUGUCAGAAAACCACCCUCCAGUGAGCAUGGAGGCAGAGAGUCUCAUCCUGGCAUCCCAGGUGCUGAGCAGAGCAGACAGCAGCAGAGGGGCUCCCUAGAGCAGCUGGGGGCCCUGCCUGUGCCGUCGCUCUUUCCCCUCCCUGCCCUCUGGUCUGACAUCCCAUUGGCAUCACACACAAUGCCUCCCCGAGGCGCUUUUGUGCACAGAGCAGGUCAAAGUGCCAGAGAAUUAGAUCCUGUCCUCUUGGGAACAGCCCUCAGCCAGCAGUGAGCCCUUAGGAAGAUGCUCCAAGUUCUGUCCUCCCCGGGUCCAGAGGCCCUGGGAUGGAGCGCCAUUGUGGAAGCAGUGACAGCUUGAUGAAGCUCCCUGGGCUGGCCCCUUCCUCCCUGCCUUGUUCCCCGUUCCCUGCAGUCCUGCAAUCACCUCCCAAAUAAACCAUGUGCCCUUGCUGG
RNAcentral lists this long non-coding RNA (2055 nucleotides) under Pongo abelii (Sumatran orangutan). RNAcentral describes it as "lincRNA". The record is from RNAcentral. Lineage: Eukaryota; Metazoa; Chordata; Mammalia; Primates; Hominidae.